GCUGGGCAUGGUGGUGCAUGCCUGUAGUCCUAGCACUUUGGGAGGCUGAGGCAGGAGGAUUGCUUGAGCUCAGGAGUUCAAGGCUGCAGGCUGCAGUGAGCUAUGAUCAUGCCGCUGCACUCCAGCCUGGGCUACAGAGUAAGACCCCAUCUCAA
RNAcentral lists this non-coding RNA (155 nucleotides) under Homo sapiens (human). The record is from Rfam by way of RNAcentral. Lineage: Eukaryota; Metazoa; Chordata; Mammalia; Primates; Hominidae.